Molecule: ribosomal RNA, 492 nt
Filed under: uncultured bacterium
Lineage: Bacteria
Description: partial 16S ribosomal RNA
Rfam family: Bacterial small subunit ribosomal RNA
Source: RNAcentral
AUUGAACGCUGGCGGCAUGCUUUACACAUGCAAGUCGAACGGUAACAGGCCUUCGGGUGCUGACGAGUGGCGAACGGGUGAGUAAUGCAUCGGAACGUGCCCAGAGGUGGGGGAUAACGCAGCGAAAGCUGUGCUAAUACCGCAUGUGAUCUGAGGAUGAAAGCGGGGGACCAGGCAGCAAUGUUUGGCCUCGCGCCUUUGGAGCGGCCGAUGUCAGAUUGGGUAGUUGGUGGGGUAAAGGCCUACCAAGCCGACGAUCUGUAGCUGGCCUGAGAGGACGACCAGCCACACUGGGACUGAGACACGGCCCAGACUCCUACGGGAGGCAGCAGUGGGGAAUUUUGGACAAUGGGCGCAAGCCUGAUCCAGCAAUGCCGCGUGCGGGAAGAAGGCCUUCGGGUUGUAAACCGCUUUUGUACGGAACGAAAAGGCUCUGGCUAAUACCUGGGGCUGAUGACGGUACCGUAAGAAUAAGCACCGGCUAACUACGUG